GAUGAACGCUGGCGGCGUGCCUAAUACAUGCAAGUCGAGCGAACAUACUAGGAGCUUGCUCCUUCGACGUUAGCGGCGGACGGGUGAGUAACACGUAGGUAACCUACCUCUAAUACUGGGAUAACUUCGGGAAACCGGAGCUAAUACCGGAUAAUAUUUCGAACCGCAUGGUUCGAUAGUUAAAGAUGGCUUUGCUAUCACUUAUAGAUGUACCUGCGCCGUAUUAGCUAGUUGGUAGGGUAACGGCUUACCAAGGCGACGAUACGUAGCCGACCUGAGAGGGUGAUCGGCCACACUGGAACUGAGACACGGGCCAGACUCCUAGGGGAGGCAGCAGUAGGGAAUCUGCCGCAAUGGGCGAAAGCCUGACGGAGCAACGCCGCGUGAGUGAUGAAGGUGUUCGGAUCGUAAAACUCUGUUAUUAGGGAAGAACAAACGUGUAAGUAACUGUGCACGUCUUGACGGUACCUAAUCAGAAAGCCACGGCUAACUACGUG
RNAcentral lists this ribosomal RNA (497 nucleotides) under uncultured bacterium. RNAcentral describes it as "partial 16S ribosomal RNA". It matches the Rfam family "Bacterial small subunit ribosomal RNA", at positions 28 to 507 of the family's 1533-position model. The record is from RNAcentral.